This is a long non-coding RNA of Perca flavescens (yellow perch), 840 nucleotides long. RefSeq lists it as uncharacterized. The transcript is spliced from 2 exons. The record is from RefSeq and is a predicted model, not a curated record. NCBI's taxonomy places the organism in Eukaryota, Metazoa, Chordata, Actinopteri, Perciformes, Percidae.
UCUUGCGGCAGAAAACGUCUGUCUGUUGUUGACUGCGCAACGUUUAUCAAGAGGAAUGUGUCUACUCCGGUUCCUUCCCCCCUUACUUUGUGAUGAUUGGGCAGCACGACCGGCUCUGCCCGGUUUGAUCCUGUUGGUUCCCCGACGAUGCAGUGCGUUGAGUAGGCUAAGUAAGGGGAUACAUCAUCCAAGGAGGAGGCAGACAUCAUUCACCGCAAACUAUGCAACUUCUUAGGGUGGAACCUGAAGGGUGCAUCAAAGCAACCAUUGAGGAUUUCCAUUUUAAUCUCUAGGUUUUGGGCUGUCCAUCAUUGUUAUACGUAGGCGAGUGAUAUCUCGAGAUUAUGUAUUUUGGACAAUCAUAACAAAAAUACAGAUAAAAUAGAGCGCUGCUGAAUAAUUGAAUUUAGAUAAGGCUAUUUGGUUAAUUAUGAAGAUCAUGUUAUUGAGUUUUAUAACUGUUUAACAACGAUGUUAUCUGGGUAAAUAGAGAUACUAAGAAUGUAUUGUUGAGUCACAUAACAUAAUUUGUUUGUCUCAUGUAACAUUUCUUUAGAGCAGAGCAGGAUCCAGCCUCGCGAGAAUACGCCUCGCUCGCCAAGAGACGAAAGUUGCGCAGGCGUACAGUUGCACAUCCAUGGUGGAGGGAAUCUUUGAGGCACAACGAGGAUCAUCGUUGGACAUCCAUGAAGCCUGAAGCGUCUCAAUGGAAACUUGAGCAAAAAGGGCUGGACUGUUGGACUAGCUAGCUAGCCUAGCCUAGCUAGCUAUAUACGCAGCUGUACUUUUGACCAUCACCGUGUUUUCGGUUUUGUUCAUUCUAAUAAAAUAUAACUUGCA